RNAcentral lists this ribosomal RNA (253 nucleotides) under uncultured bacterium. Its description in RNAcentral is "partial 16S ribosomal RNA". It matches the Rfam family "Bacterial small subunit ribosomal RNA", at positions 524 to 776 of the family's 1533-position model. The record is from RNAcentral.
UACGUAGGUGGCGAGCGUUGUCCGGAUUUACUGGGCGUAAAGAGCGCGCAGGCGGUCGUACAAGUCGCGUGUGAAAGCCCCCGGCUCAACUGGGGAGGGUCACGCGAUACUGUUCGACUCGAAGGCAGGAGAGGGAAGCGGAAUUCCCGGUGUAGUGGUGAAAUGCGUAGAUAUCGGGAGGAACACCAGUGGCGAAGGCGGUUCUCUGGGCCUGUACUGACGCUGAGGAGCGAAAGCGUGGGGAGCAAACAGG